RNAcentral lists this ribosomal RNA (253 nucleotides) under uncultured bacterium. RNAcentral's name for it is "partial 16S ribosomal RNA". It matches the Rfam family "Bacterial small subunit ribosomal RNA", at positions 524 to 776 of the family's 1533-position model. The record is from RNAcentral.
UACGUAGGGUGCGAGCGUUAAUCGGAAUUACUGGGCGUAAAGCGUGCGCAGGCGGUUUUUCAAGUCGGAUGUGAAAUCCCCGGGCUUAACCUGGGAAUGGCAUUUGGGACUGCAAGGCUGGAGUGCGGCAGAGGAGACUGGAAUUCCUGGUGUAGCAGUGAAAUGCGUAGAUAUCAGGAGGAACACCGAUGGCGAAGGCAGGUCUCUGGGCUGACACUGACGCUCAUGCACGAAAGCGUGGGGAGCAAACAGG